This is a non-coding RNA of Paramuricea clavata, 2701 nucleotides long. The record is from the annotation of a GenBank genome assembly. NCBI's taxonomy places the organism in Eukaryota, Metazoa, Cnidaria, Anthozoa, Malacalcyonacea, Plexauridae.
CGAACUUCGAGCGGAAGGCGAGAAUUAGUAUACCUUAUACAACACGGCCGCGAAUGUUGCAAAUGAUUCUAUUUGCUCUUUCGUGUAUUUUUCUAUUAUCUCGUACCAUUUACAACAUUCGCGAGCGUGUGGUAUGAGAUAUACGAACUUCGAGCCGAAGGCGAGAAUUAGUAUAUCUGAUACAACACGGCCGCGAAUGUUGCAAAUGAUUCUAUUUGCUCUUUCGUGUAUUUUUCUAUUACCUCCUACCAUUCACAACAUUCCCGGGCGUGUUGUAUGAGAUAUACGAACUUUGAGCCGAAGGCGAGAAUUAGUAUAUCUGAUACAACACGGCCGCGAAUGUUGCAAAUGGAUUCUAUUUGCUCUUUCGUGUAUUUUUCUAUUAGUGAAUAUUUGUAUUACCAGUACGAUUUGGUAUCAUGAUUCCGUAUCAGAAAUACAAACCACUUCACGCUCAUGAUUUUCUUGUUUUCUUUAUCAAUGAUUGAUGAUAAAUGCAAAUAUUACAAUGAAUAUUAUACGUAAAUUUAAGCCAUGUUUUAAUAAAUACCGUCUGCUCUCCAAUGUUCUCAUACGAACAUUGUGGCCCAAAGAAUUGGGCGUCGACGACAACAAUUCUCGUGGAAGUUACCGGAAAGUGUUGUGGCGCAACGGGCUGUUGCGAUGAGGUCGAUGGUCCGCCAAGAUUUAUCAGUUGACGUUGAAUACCGCUACAUGCGGUUACUGGCUGUAAAAAUUCUUAUAUAUCCGGAUAUAAAACAACCGAACUUAUUUGAUUAAGAGCGCUGCACUGGAAUCUCAGGACCAUGAGUUCGAUUCCUGUCAAAUGGUCUGCAUCUUUCGCGGUUGCUCCUAAUUAGGUCUGAAGAAAUGUUUGAAAUUCAAAUUCAGAAAUUCCAUUUUAACAUUGUUUCAUAAAGCACUUGAAUUAAGCAUUUUUCACUCAACUCAAUUUCAGGUCUUUAAGCUGACAAAGAACUUGUGCCAUAUUCGCCUCAUCCUUCGCUCACAAUGCAAUCGCGAUGUCUCGCCUGUCUCGUACAUAUCUGUUUCCUUAUAGUUCACGUCGAAAAUGUCUUCAAUUUUUGGAUCGCAAUAUGUGAAGCGCGCAAGCGAAAUGGACUAUUAACAAUGUUGAUUUGCAUAAUCUCCGCCAGUAGGCCAUGAUUUCCCAAGGAUUCCUUGUGUUUGUGUCUAUAUAAUAUGAACGUAUAAAUAUAAUUUUAAAAAAGUAAGCAUAUGUGUUUGUGUGUUCGUUGCAUUUAGCAGCAUCAUAGAUGUAAUUUAAAAAAAUAAAAAGUACAAAAAAAUAUAUAAAAAUUUAAAAACAAAAAAAAAAGUUGUGUGUUUGUCUGCAUUUAGCAGCGUCAUAGAUGUAAUUUAAAACUAAAUUAAAAAGUACAAAAUAUAUAUAUAAAAAUUUAAAAUAUAAAAAAAAAUUGUGUGUUUGUCUGCAAUUAGCAGCAUCAUAGAUGUAAUUUAAAAAUUAAAAAGUACAAAAAAAUAUAUAAAAAUUUAAAAAUAAAUAAAAAAGUUGUGGUGUAUAUUUGUAUGAUCAUGUGUGUUUGUCUGCAUUUCAGCAGCAAGAUUUUAUAUUUAUGUGUGUGUAAAUAUCCGUUUUCUUUUAUGUACACGGAAUUCUGUUGCAUUAUCAUGGCUGAGUGUUGCCUUAAGUCGUAAGGCACGAAUGUUUUCUCUAGAAAAUUGUUUACUUUACUCUUCAGAGUCCAUUUCAAAUGAUGUGCCUCACUUAUUGCAUUCAAUUUGACUUUUCUAAAUAUACCCAUACAUAUUAACGUCUACAUUCUAUUUAUAAAUAACAUAUCAUUGCAUGUUAUUAUACUGCAUCUCAUCUUUCUGGUGCUAUUUAAAACACGAGCACCAGUGUUUUAUCAGAUAUAAAGAUACAAGGCGAAGCCGAAUAUCUUCAGGCCUGGUAAAACGCGCACUGCGGAAUGAUUUAAAUUGCUUCAACAGUUGUGUAAGUCGAGAAAGUUAAAGUUUAUGUAAAUCAAGGGAGAUCUCUAUAACAUAUAAAGAUGCGACACGCUUGUGAUUUUCUCUUGCUAUAUUCCUCAUGAAUUCUUGAGUUUUUGAAGAUCAUUGAAUUAGUAGAUAUUCACAUGAGUUUUGGUUGCUAUAUCCAUGAUUCACAAGAUAUUCCUCAAAUCAUAUUGCAUUUUACUGACCACAGUCGUAGAAAUAUUCUGAAAUGCCAGUCAUGCAGAAAGUCAAUGCACUUAACAUUAACUAAAAAAAACAAAAGCAAAAACAGCUCAGUGAAGAGUCGUGUCGGUAAAAUAGGACAGUAUAAAUGCUAUAAAACGUACUUAGAUUGGAUUUUACACGAAUAAAGGUACCAUAUAUUAGUUAUAAUGUAUAUUCAUAGAUAUAAUGUAGUAAUAUAUGAAAAUAUAUAAUACGUGAUAUUAUGUUAAUUCAGUUGUGGUGGACGCUACCACCAGCGCGAAGACAAUUUGCCAGAGUCUUCGGGUCCAGCGAAGCAAUCACGCAAGUGUCGACCUCCGGAAAAAGUGCGGCUUACUUUCGGUACUUAUAUUCUGUCCCGCAUAACCAUGUCGAUAUUCGUAUUAAUUUCGGUUGCCGUCCGUUCACAAGAUAUUCGAUAAAUCGUUGCAUUCGGCAGGCAAAUGUUCCUUUGGAAAAUGUUUCGGGACUUGGUCACGAAUAGCGUUGUUGC